GAGGAGACGAAUUGUUGACAGUAUGAUACAUAGACACAGUAUGUUUUGCCAUGUAUUUAAAUUUUUUGGUCUAAAUAUCCCUAAAGCCCGAGACACACUGCACAAUUUUCGGCUGUCCCAGAUGAAAAGACUGGCAUCGUGAAACAAUCGUGGCGAUUUCUGUGAUCGUGGCUCCUAACACGGAGCUGGAAGGUCAAUGACAGGCCCUCUGCUCCAUGAUGAAGCGUGUAAUGACUUCAGUGUCAGGCCUGGGUUCAUCAUCGCACAAGAUUUUCACACAAGAAAAUAUUCAUCGUGAUGUGGAUGAGAACCUGUGGAUAAAUGCACAAGAUGAGGCUGAUGGGAACAGAAGUGCGCUGAACAACACUUUACUGACAUUAACUACUGUAGGGUUUAUUCCUUUAAUUUGAUUCUUUCAUCAAUAGAUUUCAGAUUUUGUUCACUGACUCAGCUGUGUCUGUACUAUUCUCUCUAGUUUAUUGAAGUAUAAACGUGAACAACAACAGAAUAUCAAGACUUCCAUCACAAAACCCAGGAGUAUAAUUAAACAGCAAUUAUAAUAUAUAAAUAUAAACAACAGCAACAUCAUAAACAGCACUGGGCUUCAUUGGGUUAAGUUAGACUUACACAGGAUUUUCCUCAGUGUUUGUUCCAGAAAAACACAAACAAACAUUUAACGUCAUAUCAAUCAGAUCUUCUCAAUGUAACAUGAUUCAAUAUACAAUAUACAGGGCUGUGUAAUGUGGAAAUAAUAUAAUUUAAAUAGGCAAAAUUUAAGAUUCAAUUAGUCAAGUUAAACAUUUAAAUGCUUGAUUUAUUUGUUUUUAUGUUGUUUUAUGCUUCAAUGUCAAUAUAGGCUAUAUAUAGAAAUUAAAAUCUGUAGAUUUCAGUAAAAACUAAUAAUUGAGAUGUAUUAAAACGUUUCUUUGGUAGUGUUUGUAAAAGGAUUGAUUAUUUUCUUUCUUUCAUUCAGGCUAGGGGUGGGUGAUAUGGUAAAAACAUAAUUUCAUGAUUUUUUUGUUCAGGAAAAUCACGAUUCACAAUUUAAGAUUUACAACAUUAUAAGGAAACCUGUUAUGGUUCUUUUUCUAAAAUCGCGACAAAAAAAGUCAGGGAGACGCCGCACACAACGACUGCUUAACAAAACAAAUUUAUUUAGCUAUAAAGAAAAGAAAACAUGUAAUGUAGUCCGUGUAGAUGAUAGUCAGUAUGUCGGCAUGUGUUUGUUAGUAGUACCAAUAACAACAAUCCAAACAAACACCAAAACUCAAAACCCAAACGUCCAAUCUUGAGAGAGAUGAAUCAAAACGGGAACUCAACAAGCUCCGUCCUUCAGAUGAGGUUCUGACUCUCUGUGCUCAUUAAAAAUCCCAGGAUGCCUUUCAAAAAGAGUAGAGGUGUAGCCUCAGCAUCUUUUAAAAUAAAAAAAAUUUAAUUACGACUUAAUUCUACAAUUCAUCUCCUCCGCAUCACUGAUUUCUAUGUUUAUUUACGCUUUGAUUUGAACGAAAACAGCGAGUCCGUGUGGCGCGGCUGACACAGAACAGCGUACGCAGUUUGCAUUCAGCGGAUAUUCUCCAAAAUGCCGCUACGGUGAUGCGGAUAACACACGGAGGAGACAAAUUGUUGAAUAAAGUCAUAAUUUUUAUAUUCUUUGUGUACAAAAAGUAUUCUCGUAGCUUCAUAACAUUCAGAUUGAACCACUGUGACGGUGGCGGCCCCAAGUAAAUAGUUGCAGAGACAAAAAAAAUUUAAGUGACUCUAAAAGUUCGGGCGCCAGACAGGAAUAAGCCUGUCAAAAAGGAAUUUAACCCAGAUAGCCUUGAAAAAGCCACCAGUUACAUACAAUAGAUACAACAGCAAGAAAUAAAAAUAAUGCAGAUACACUAGCAAUAAAUGCACAAGGAGAAACUAUUUUCAGUUCAGUUUCACUUGUAUUUUUCACAAGAGAGGGGAAAAAAACAAUAAUAAAAAACAAACGAUUUGUCACAUGAAUGUGUUUACACAUUGCACAUCCAUCAAAAAAACCUAUAAAUAAUCGCUAGUACUGCAGCGACUGAGAGCCUCCAGUCUAAGUCAGUAUUCGCAGCGGCAGUUGCGAUAGUCCAGUUCUCAAUUUACAAUUCCAAACCGAUAAAAAGAAAAAAAAAGGAAAAAAAUACAAACAAGAUUAAUUUUAGUCACUCACUUCAUUAUACAACUUCAUAAAAGACGACAAAAAGAAAAUACUCACAUUAAGGGGAGUUGUACAUUACAGUAUGCUUGAGCGAAUGUGGUGUGAGUGAACUUUGGGUGUGUGUGUGUGUGGUACGCCAGCCAUGAGCCAUAUGACCGGCCGAUCGUUUUCGUGGGGAAACAGUUUUACAAACAGUGAAAGAAGGUGGAUUUUCUCCAAGAGAAAAAAUGGUAUCCAGGCAGGAACACUUCCCUUCGCUCCCGAACCACACACGCCUCUGCGCUGGUCCCGCAGCUCGGACAACGAUUUCUUUGAAACCCUCCGGCCAAACUCCAGCAUACACAGUGUGUGUGAGUGCGCUCAGCCGAAACCAGUGCGACUUCCACCCUAAUUCUUCGCAACUUCUUUGUUCAGAAAACCACCCCCUUCUUUGAUUCUGUUCCACUAUAUAUAGAUACCUCACUUCCUUCCCAAAUUAGACUCUCGUUCCUAUUCGCUGGCAGUCACGACAAUUGUUUUGGUUUCACUUUUCCAGUUCCGCCUUUUACGUGCCGCCACACCACAGAUGGCAGAUGGACUAUUUUGACGAUGUCUUUCAUACUUUUCUGGACCGUGACAGUGUAAUUUUCUUGGCAGUCGAUGGGACAGUCACAAGCCUCCCGGUUUUCAUCCAAAAUAUCUCAAAUUGUGUUCUGAAGACGAACAAAACAUUUAUGGGUUUGGAACGACAUGGGGGUAAGUGAUUAAUGACAAAAUUUUGCCAUAAAGUGACAAAGGAUGGAGAAAGGAAAUCAUACUAUUCUCCACUUCCCCCCUGAUACAGCAACAACUGACAAAAGUUAAUAAUAAACUGUAUUUUGACAUAUAAUUUACUACUAGAAUAAUGUUGUCACAGUGGUGCAAUUUAGACACCUGUGUGAUUUUUCCUUUAUCAAUACCAUCAAUAUCAGUUAUACUGCUUGUCAUCUAGGUGUGCGAUAUAUAUCAUCUACAAUAAUAUUGUAAUUGUUGUUUUAACGAUGUGCAAUUUGAUAUUAUCGAAUAUAAUCGCAAAAAACAAAACACACCUACAGCGUGCACGCAUACUAUACUGUAUGUGAUGUAGCAGGUUAGAUUCGUGCGUGUGCACAUUUAGAGUCCAUUAUUUCACUGUGUGAUUCAGUCUAUUAAAAUGCAUUUUGAAUGCUGCCAAAAUUCAAGAUAUGGGGGCAAAACAUGUAUAUAUUUAUAUCAUUUCAUAUAUUUAAUCAAUAUCUCACGAAGGCUGCCAUUUCCUCUCCAAGAAUCAGCAUGAUUACAAAUGUGAUAUUGAUUUCAUACAACAGUUCAAUAAACAAAAAGUUAAGGUUGAAUCACAAUGACUCAUUCAUUGGCAGUGACUUGCUGCCACCUACUGGCAGUUUUAAUUUCACAUUUAAAGUAUCUUUUCAUUGUUUAAAAUGAUUUUAUAUGUCAGUAUUCAACGUUUUAUGUUUGAUAUAUCAAAACAUUAUUUAUGCAUUUGUAACUCCAGGUUAAAUGCAUUCAGGUCCCUCUGAGCUGCAUCUUCUGUGUUUCAAAAUCUUUAGGAGUCAGCUGUCCACAUCAGUCCUUAAGGAUAUGCAGAGAUUCAAGUCACAAAGGAAAAUCAUUUGUGAAGUCCAUUUGACAUGGCUCCAUGUUUGAGAACUCUCAUAUUUCACUUCAAACAUGGAUGCAUUUCAUCUAUAGAUUUGCCCAAGGUCUUUGACUGCGACAAGUGGACAUGCUACAGGAGGGGAUUACUCGGAGCUCUGCAACUCUGAGUAAACUGUCAGACAAGCUGAGAAGAGUUUGUAAAUCUGCAAUGAAAAGAAUGCAAAAGAGGCAAGCAGACUAUUGGAAGAAUAAGAGAAAUUGUUCUGAUAGAUGAAAGCUAAUUUGGCCAUAAAAGAAAGUACAACAGAGGACGAGCCAGCAACAGGAGCACCUGGGUAUUCAGAAUGCUAGGCAUCAAGGUUGAGAGGAGGAGACCUAUUUUUAUAUAAUAAGUUAUAAGUUGUAUAUCCUAUAAGUUGUGCAUCGUCGUUCAGCCAGACAUCUCAUGCCCCUCAUAAAGAAGCACAUUCGCCAGGGAAGCUCAGUCAUUUCAGAUGGAUGGCGGUCUUACUGCAAUCUUCAGAAUAAAGGUUAUGAUCACCGGAUUGUCAACCAUAAAGAAAAUUUUGUUGACCCUGUUACAGGUGCACAUACACAGAACCUGGAGAGACUUUGGGGUGUUUGUAAGUCAACUAUUUGGAGAUUAAGAGGAAACCGCACACAAAUUAUGUUGAAAGACCACUUGGAUGUAAUUGAGUGGACUUACUGGCGUGGGAACAAUCACAGAAAUGGACCACUUGGAAUUCUUUUGCAUGACAUCAAGCAAAAAUAUAUGAGGCCUACAUGAAAUGUACUUGCAUAUACUGUAGAUAGCAAGUUGAUUUUUAUACUACUACUCUUUCAACACACUGAAUAUACUGUUUUCGUGUUUAAAUGCCUUAAAUGUGCUUGAAACAUGUUUUAUUUUUGGAAAAUACAAAUAGUGAAGUUGACCCAAUAUUUAUUUUCAGUUAAAGCCUGAGACCCUGAGAAAAAAGACAUGAAAAUCCAGUCAACUUCUUCCACUGAUGGAGUAUUCAAAUGCUAGUUUUCAGCUUUCAGUUUAAAUGUGUUAUUUAGUACUGCCCUUCGGAAGCAACAGAAGAUACUUGCAAGUUUCCCGGAAGACAAAUUAAGUACAAAUUUUUUUGUCUUGUGGACUAUAUGUAAACAUCUUUUAUAUAAAAUAUUUUACUCAGGACAGUACUAAAUAAAAAAAUA
This is a long non-coding RNA of Onychostoma macrolepis, 4993 nucleotides long. RefSeq lists it as uncharacterized. NCBI's taxonomy places the organism in Eukaryota, Metazoa, Chordata, Actinopteri, Cypriniformes, Cyprinidae. The transcript has 4 exons. The record is from RefSeq and is a predicted model, not a curated record.